Scylla paramamosain (green mud crab) is the source of this 2604-nucleotide long non-coding RNA. RefSeq lists it as uncharacterized. The record is from RefSeq and is a predicted model, not a curated record. NCBI's taxonomy places the organism in Eukaryota, Metazoa, Arthropoda, Malacostraca, Decapoda, Portunidae. The transcript has 2 exons.
AGGAGGAGGAGGAGGAAGAGGAAGAAGUGAUUGAAGGUUGAUAUAGAAAAAUAGGGAAAGAAAAAUAUGGUGACCAGAGGGACAGAUAUAACAGAGAGAGAGAGAGAGAGAGAGAGAGAGAGAGAGAGAGAGAGAGAGAGAGAGAGAGAGAGAGAGAAUCCAACUUCUCAUACACACACAUAGGUAAAGAUAACACUUGCAGAUCAGCUUAACACCAAAGCAUAAGAUUAGUUCUAAAUAAUUGGAUGACGGAUUUACGAAAAUAUGAAUAACUAGAAUAAAUAACUAGAGGGAAUUUAUAAAGGACGUGAAUAAAUUAAACGUUCUUGUGAAUGUUGAAUCACGCGCUGUAUUUGGGCUUCCCGUCAUCCGCUAAAGGACGUCUUGCCACCUCCAGGCAACUACCCUGACGGGACCAAAGGAAUGCACCUAUUUACCAAUCACCAUGCUCGCGACACACACACACACACACACACACACACACACGCACAGAAUGAAGACACUCAAUGUCUACAUUAUACUUAUGUGUGUAUUAGGGGAGGGGGGGGGGGGGUUCGCGCGCGCGCAUAAAAAAAAAAAAUAAUCCCAAGCGGAUAUCCUCUGACAUUUAUUGAAGCUCGACACUGGGCAGCCCGGCACAUACUGUACGUACACACACACACACACCACACACACACACACACACAAAUACACACACACACACACACACACACAAGUAGUAAUUCAGUGGAAGCGAUGGCGUGCGGGUGGAUAACAAUUGUGUUCCUUUCGUUGUAUCAAACAGGCUUCCUCCUCGCCAACUUGACUCCGAACUGCACUCCACAGGAAUUGAACGUGAAACCGGAAGAAAAUAGAGUAGUUCACCAAGAGAUUGUGUCUGGUGAUCACAACACCUCGACAACAUUGUUCAUGCAGUCCAGGCACGACUUCAAGGGAAUAAGUGUGUUAGUGAACAAUAAAGAUAUAACACCCUACUUGGUUAUCACCGCAGUACUGCUUUCUGGAUGACACUGAAUGGGUGAAGAUAGGAGUAGGAGUGACAGAUAAGCAAAUUUCAGCCCCUUACGGCCACGUCACAGUGACAACUGACACUUGUAAAUGGGAGUGUGACAUAGCAACGAUAAGAGUACCGACGCGUCCUGUCAACUUAAUCGUUCUGGCUCAUGGCUCGUCCACCUGGCAACGAUUCCCCUCACCAGAGUGCUACAACACAACAGACUCCGACUGGGAGUUCAAGACUGACUUCACUUGCACUCACAAUACCGAGCGCACACCAACAAUAAAUACGAGUAUGGUGUUAUUAGGACUACUGGUCAUAAUAGUAGUGGUGAUGGUGACGGUGGCGAUCUUCAGAAUGGUGGUCCUCAGAGCGGCAAUGGCACGUGAUGCUUCAGCCCCCCGGGGACCAGCACACUUACGCUCCCGGACAUAACCAUACCCUACAAACAACGCCCAGCCUUUAUUCAAAAGACGUGUGGCAGCCCGUGAAUGCUGGACAACCAGCGACAUGGGGCACCAGUUAUGGCAACGAGCCUUCCUGUCCACCACUCGUAAGCCUUGGUGAAAGAAGAACCACUCCAAGAAACACCAAGGGCAUCACGUCACUCGACUUGGAUAUGCGUCACCUCGGCGGAAAGUAACAUGGCAACACCAGCGAAGGGGUGUUCCUUGAGCCACUCCCCAUCAGAAAGCAACAGUAGGCAGGAAGAGGAAUACAAAGGAAUACUACUACUACCAAACAGCAACCAAACCUUCAUGUCCUUACUAAGUUCUUUGGGUAACUAGCGUUUAGUAGGAGAGACAGGAUGGUGGAGGAGGGGAAGGAGGGGGAAGAGGAGGAGGAGGAGGAGAGGAACUGUUUCAUGGAAGGAGCAUCAAGACACCUCUGGAACUAAAUUAACCAACACAUUUAUAACAUUUCUAUUCUCCUCCCAGUUUUUCCUGCUUAACAUGCAGGAAUGUAGCAAUUGCAGUUGUUGUUGUUGUUCCUGCAGCAGAAAUACUGGUAGUGAAUGUGGAUGUCUAGUAUAAGAAAAGAAGCAAUAAUAGCAACAACAAUAACAACAACAACCAACAACAACGAGGCACUGAAUGCCAACCACAUUAUUAACUAUGUUUAGUUCACUGAGUUUUAUUUGUACUUUUCUUUUUAGUAUUCAUACUUGACUUAUUAUACGAAUGGAAAUACUAAUAAUUAUUAGUAUUUCCAUUCAUCACAUUGUGAGCUGCUUACAGCUGUACUAGAGAUAGUGAUAUCGAGUCUUCUGGAACACUUUCACACAUUAAGAGCAUUAUGUCCAUGCUCUUUCCUGUAAAUAUUUUAAAUCUUGAUUUAUUUUCUAUCUAGUGGGACUUUGUCUUUUUUUUUUCAUUGUAAUCACCAGCAAACGUCCUUCAUUAAUUUGAGUUUACUCGCCUUGUAGUACAGUGUGUUUGUGUGUGUGUGUGUGUGUGUGUGUGUGUGUGUGUGUGUGUGUGUGUGUGUGUGUGUGUGUGUGUGUGUGUGUGUGUGUGUGUGUGUGUGUGUGUGUGUGUACGUGUGUGUGUGUGUGUGUGUGUGUGUGUGUGUGUGUGUGUGUGUGUGUGUGUGUGUGUGUGUACGUG